UACGGGAGGCAGCAGUGGGGAAUAUUGCACAAUGGGCGAAAGCCUGAUGCAGCUAUGCCGCGUGUAUGAAGAAGGCCUUAGGGUUGUAAAGUACUUUCAUCGGGGAGGAAAAACAAAACUAAUAAUUUUAUUUCUUGACGUUACCCGAAAAAGAAGCACCGGCUAACUCCGUGCCAGCAGCCGCGGUAAUACGGAGGGUGCUAGCGUUAAUCAGAAUUACUGGGCGUAAAAGAGCACGUAGGUGGUUUUUUUAAGUCAGAUGUGAAAUCCCUGGGCUUAACCUAGGAACUGCAUUUUGAAACUGAAAUACUAGAGUAUCGUAGAGGGAGGUAGAAUUCUAGGUGUAGCGGUGAAAUGCGUAGAUAUCUGGAGGAAUACCUGUGGCGAAAGCGGCCUCCUAAACGAAUACUGACACUGAGGUGCGAAAAGCGUGGGGAGCAAACAGGGAUUAGAUACC
Molecule: ribosomal RNA, 457 nt
Filed under: uncultured bacterium
Lineage: Bacteria
Description: bacterial SSU rRNA
Rfam family: Bacterial small subunit ribosomal RNA
Source: RNAcentral